RNAcentral lists this long non-coding RNA (583 nucleotides) under Mytilus galloprovincialis (Mediterranean mussel). Lineage: Eukaryota; Metazoa; Mollusca; Bivalvia; Mytilida; Mytilidae. The record is from RNAcentral.
GUGUAAGUGUGAAUUUAAUUCAGAGAAAAUAAUCCCUUUCUCUUUGUUAAGAAUAUAACACGAGCAAAGUACUUUGUUUUAUUAAUGUUUCUUAAUCAGUUUUGUUGGUAUUUGUUCGAAGAGGACGGAAGCACAUUUUUGCGAGAUGUUUUCAAUGCGUUUUAGAUAAAAUCCUCUUCUCUUAAAUACUUUGAGCAAAUAAGCAUUCUCCCUCAAUUUGUAUAUGAUAUACUUUUCUUCAUUCUUUUUAUUAUUUUGGCGGCAGUCGUUGCGGGUAAAAACUUUAUUGAGGAAUGAUCUGUAUUGUCAGUACACUGAUUUUCUUUAGUUAUAUCUUGAUAAUUUUGCAAAUCGUCACUUGGUCUUAUUUUGAUAUCGUCUGAUUUUAUUCCUUAUUUAUUUCUAGUCUGAGUGAUCUUAGUUUAAAGUUAACAUAUUUUUUACCCGUUGAGUAAAAGCCAGAAUUGGUAUCUUCAACGUAUACAUACAGAUACAGAUAUUGUCUACACACCAAGUUUAGUUAAUUGAUCUCUUGAGUAAAUGACACAUUUUUUUUUUUGGAUUUUUAUGUUAUGAAGUUUGU